CAGCCGUAAACAAUGUGCGUUAGGUGUGUCGGUAACCACGCGUUACUGAUGCGCCGAAGAGAAAUCGUGAAACGCACCACCUGGGAAGUACGGUCGCAAGGCUGAAACUUAAAGGAAUUGGCGGGGGAGCACCACAACAGGCGGAGCCUGCGGUUUAAUUGGAUUCAACGCCGGACAUCUCACCGGAUAAGACAGCUGAAUGAUUGUCAAUCUGAAGGUUUUACAUGACUAGCUGAGAGGUGGUGCAUGGCGUCAGUGACU
RNAcentral lists this ribosomal RNA (261 nucleotides) under uncultured archaeon. RNAcentral's name for it is "partial 16S ribosomal RNA". It matches the Rfam family "Archaeal small subunit ribosomal RNA", at positions 748 to 1008 of the family's 1478-position model. The record is from RNAcentral.